This 497-nucleotide ribosomal RNA is filed under the name uncultured bacterium. RNAcentral's name for it is "partial 16S ribosomal RNA". It matches the Rfam family "Bacterial small subunit ribosomal RNA", at positions 28 to 507 of the family's 1533-position model. The record is from RNAcentral.
GACGAACGCUGGCGGCGUGCCUAAUACAUGCAAGUCGAACGGACAGACGAGGAUCUUGCUCCUCUGUCGUUAGCGGCAGGCGGGUGAAUAACACGUGGAUAACCUACCUAUAUGACUGGGAUCACUUCGAGAAACCGGCGAUAAUCCCGGAUAAUAUAUUGCACCGCAUGGUUCAAUAGUGAGAUACGGUUUUUCUGUAACUUAUCGCUGGAUCCGCGCCGCAUUAGCUAGUUGGUAAGGUAACGGCUUACCAAGGCAACGAUGCGUAGCCGACCUGAGAGGGUGAUCGGCCACACGGGAAGUGGGACACGGUCCAGACUCCUACGGGAGGGAGCAGAAGGGAACGUUACGCAACGGUCGAAAGUCUUACGGAGUAACGCCGAGUGAGUGAUGAAGGUCUUGGGAUCGUAAAAACCGGUUACGAGGGAUGAACAAAUUUGGAAGUAAAUAUGGACGGCUUGACGGUACUGAAUCAGAAAGCAACGGCUAACUACGUG